This 491-nucleotide ribosomal RNA is filed under the name uncultured bacterium. Its description in RNAcentral is "partial 16S ribosomal RNA". It matches the Rfam family "Bacterial small subunit ribosomal RNA", at positions 28 to 507 of the family's 1533-position model. The record is from RNAcentral.
GAUGAACGCUGGCGGCGUGCCUAACACAUGCAAGUCGAACGGCAAGACAGUAAGAUCUUGCUCCUACCGGUGGCGGCUGGCGGACGGGUGACGCGUAGAUCGGCAUCUUAUUUUUCGUGGAGAAUUACGGGGGACACGUACGCUAAUACCGCAAUCUACCUACGCGUGUAGGUCGGUGAUCUUCAAACCUUUUGCUGUUGCAUGUGCCGAUGUCGGAUUAGCUAGUUGGCGGUGUAAAGGUCCACCAAGGCGACGGUCCGUAGCUGGUCUGAGAGGAUGAGCGGCCACACUGGAACUUAGAAAAGGUCCAGGACCCUAAGGGAGGCAGGAGUGGGGAAUAUUGGACAAUGGGCGCAAGCCUGAUCCAGCCAUCGCGGGUGGGUGAAGAAGGCCUUCGGGUUGGAAAGCCCUUUUGUUGGGAAAGAAAAGCAGCAGGUUAAUACCCCGCUGUUCCGACGGUAACCAAAUAAUAAGCACCGGCUAACUUCGUG